RNAcentral lists this ribosomal RNA (433 nucleotides) under uncultured bacterium. Its description in RNAcentral is "partial 16S ribosomal RNA". It matches the Rfam family "Bacterial small subunit ribosomal RNA", at positions 29 to 507 of the family's 1533-position model. The record is from RNAcentral.
AACGAACGCUGGCGGCAUGCCUAACACAUGCAAGUCGAACGAGACCUUCGGGUCUAGUGGCGCACGGGUGCGUAACGCGUGGGAACCUGCCCUUAGGUUCGGAAUAACUCCCCGAAAGGGGUGCUAAUACCGGAUAAUGUCUUCGGACCAAAGAUUUAUCGCCUUUGGAUGGCCCCGCGUUGGAUUAGCUAGUUGGUAGGGUAAAAGCCUACCAAGGCGACGAUCCAUAGCUGGUCUGAGAGGAUGAUCAGCCACACUGGGACUGAGACACGGCCCAGACUCCUACGGGAGGCAGCAGUGGGGAAUAUUGGACAAUGGGCGAAAGCCUGAUCCAGCAAUGCCGCGUGAGUGAUGAAGGCCUUAGGGUUGUAAAGUUCUUUUACCCGGGAUGAUAAUGACAGUACCGGGAGAAUAAGCUCCGGCUAACUCCGUG